This 71-nucleotide transfer RNA is filed under the name Sphaerodactylus townsendi. RNAcentral describes it as "tRNA-Ala". The stretch from base 5 to 65 matches the Rfam family "tRNA", at positions 6 to 65 of the family's 71-position model. Rfam says of the family: Transfer RNA (tRNA) molecules are approximately 80 nucleotides in length. Lineage: Eukaryota; Metazoa; Chordata; Lepidosauria; Squamata; Sphaerodactylidae. The record is from RNAcentral.
GUUUUGUGGCUCAAUGGGAGAGUGCAUGUUUUGCAAGCAGAAGAUACCAGGUUCAAUUCCUGGCAUCUUCA